CCUACGGGUGGCAGCAGUGAGGAAUAUUGCUCAAUGGGCUUACGCCUGAACCAGCCAAGUCGCGUGAGGGAAGACUGCCCUCUGGGUUGUAAACCUCUUUUGUCAGGGAGCAACUCCGGCUACGUGUAGCAUGACUGCGAGUUACUUCAGAACCAGCAUCGGCUAACUCCGUGCCAGCAGCCGCGGUACUACGGGGGAUGCGAGCGUUAUACGGCUUUAUUGGGUUAACAGGGUGCGUAGGGUGAAAGCAAAGUUAGCGGGAAAAUCGCUGGCCUAAAGCUCGCUCCGACGUUGAAACUGGCGUUCGUGAGUAUGCGAGAAGUAGGCGGAAUGCGUGGUGUAGCGGUGAAAUGCAUAGAGAUCACGCAGAACUCCGAGUGCGAAGGC
Molecule: ribosomal RNA, 387 nt
Filed under: uncultured bacterium
Lineage: Bacteria
Description: partial 16S ribosomal RNA
Rfam family: Bacterial small subunit ribosomal RNA
Source: RNAcentral